GGCUUGGCUCAGAGGUAGAGCUUCUGCUUGGCAGCCAGAAGUUCCCAGGUUCAAUUCCUGGCAUAUCCA
RNAcentral lists this transfer RNA (69 nucleotides) under Sphaerodactylus townsendi. RNAcentral's name for it is "tRNA-Ala". The stretch from base 5 to 61 matches the Rfam family "tRNA", at positions 8 to 63 of the family's 71-position model. From Rfam's summary of the family: Transfer RNA (tRNA) molecules are approximately 80 nucleotides in length. Their secondary structure includes four short double-helical elements and three loops (D, anti-codon, and T loops). Lineage: Eukaryota; Metazoa; Chordata; Lepidosauria; Squamata; Sphaerodactylidae. The record is from RNAcentral.